AUACGGAGGGUGCAAGCGUUACUCGGAAUCACUGGGCGUAAAGGGUGCGUAGGCGGUUUGAUAAGUCUGAUGUGAAAUCCUAUGGCUCAACCAUAGAACUGCAUUGGAAACUGUCAGACUAGAAUACUGAAGGGGCAGAUGGAAUUAGUGGUGUAGGGGUAAAAUCCGUAGAUAUCACUAGGAAUACCGAAAGCGAAAGCGAUCUGCUGGGAAGUUAUUGACGCUGAGGCACGAAAGCGUGGGGAGCAAACGGGAUUAGAAACCCCAGUAGUCC
Molecule: ribosomal RNA, 274 nt
Filed under: uncultured bacterium
Lineage: Bacteria
Description: partial 16S ribosomal RNA
Rfam family: Bacterial small subunit ribosomal RNA
Source: RNAcentral